AACGAGCGCUGGCGGCAGGCCUAACACAUGCAAGUCGAGCGAGGACUUCGGUUCUAGCGGCGGACGGGUGAGUAACGCGUGGGAAUGUGCCCUUCUCUACGGAAUAGCCCUGGGAAACUGGGAGUAAUACCGUAUACGCCCUAUUGGGGAAAGAUUUAUCGGAGAAGGAUCAGCCCGCGUUGGAUUAGGUAGUUGGUGGGGUAAUGGCCUACCAAGCCGACGAUCCAUAGCUGGUUUGAGAGGAUGAUCAGCCACACUGGGACUGAGACACGGCCCAGACUCCUACGGGAGGCAGCAGUGGGGAAUCUUAGACAAUGGGGGCAACCCUGAUCGAGCCAUGCCGCGUGAGUGAUGAAGGCCUUAGGGUUGUAAAGCUCUUUCAGCUGGGAAGAUAAUGACGGUACCAGCAGAAGAAGCCCCGGCUAACUCCGUG
Molecule: ribosomal RNA, 433 nt
Filed under: uncultured bacterium
Lineage: Bacteria
Description: partial 16S ribosomal RNA
Rfam family: Bacterial small subunit ribosomal RNA
Source: RNAcentral